Non-coding RNA from Daldinia loculata, 128 nucleotides. Lineage: Eukaryota; Fungi; Ascomycota; Sordariomycetes; Xylariales; Hypoxylaceae. The record is from the annotation of a RefSeq genome assembly.
GCCCGGUUAGCUCAAUCGGUAGAGCGUGAGACUCUUAAUCUCAAGGUUGCGGGUAAGUUCCAAAGAUUUACCACAGCUCAUAGACACAAGCUAACAUACCCUCAAAGGUUCGACCCCCGCAUCGGGCU